RNAcentral lists this ribosomal RNA (253 nucleotides) under uncultured bacterium. RNAcentral describes it as "partial 16S ribosomal RNA". It matches the Rfam family "Bacterial small subunit ribosomal RNA", at positions 524 to 776 of the family's 1533-position model. The record is from RNAcentral.
UACGGAGGGUGCAAGCGUUAUCCGGAAUCACUGGGUUUAAAGGGUGCGUAGGCGGCGCAAUAAGUCAGAGGUGAAAGCCUGCAGCUCAACUGUAGAAUUGCCUUUGAUACUGCUGCGCUUGAAUCAGGUUGAGGUUGGCGGAAUGUGACAUGUAGCGGUGAAAUGCAUAGAUAUGCCAUAGAACACCAAUUGCGAAGGCAGCUGACUGGACCUGUAUUGACGCUGAGGCACGAAAGCGUGGGGAGCAAACAGG